Long non-coding RNA from Equus asinus (donkey), 3163 nucleotides. The record is from Ensembl. Lineage: Eukaryota; Metazoa; Chordata; Mammalia; Perissodactyla; Equidae.
AGGGUUUAGUUCUUCAAAUUAAACAAAGGGGAAAAAAAUGCUCCCCAUUUUUGUCAGAGCCCAGAUGAUUUCUCUUUUUCCGUUCAUCAUUUGGGGCUGAGGGGGACGUAACUCAGUUAAAGACAGAAACAUUAAACGCGCAGUAAAACCAUCACACGUGCAGGAUUGAUAGGGGUAUUGAUUAACGCCAUCAGUAAAGUAUUUACCUUAAUCAAUAGGAAAAGGUGAUUUAAAUGUUUAGGUGUCUACCGCGCUUGAGUCGGCCAAGGCUUCCUUAGGAGCAUGAUUUCAUGUGAUGCACGCCUCCCUUCGCCCGUGUGCGCCCCUUAGCAAAGUUAAUUGCCACGGCUGAAGCCCCCUCUCCACACCACCAUGGUUGCUUUUGAGUCCUGUUGCAGGUUGGGUUCUCCUGGAGGAGAUUCUGAGCUGGAGUUUUGGGUGCAAGAUGUUUGGUUAAGAAUCGGCGUCUGUGAGGGAAUGGGAGGAAAUGAGUGGGCAGAGGAAGAAGUUGAAGGGUGAGGCAGCCCCACAAAGACACGGUCAAGGGACUGGAGCUCUGGAGCCAGAGGUGCCCCUCAGUGGGCAUCAGGCCCUUGUACCCCUACCCCACCCAGUUGCCCGCCUCCCCAGGAAGGGCAUGACCUUGGGCGAGGGGUCUCUCUGCCGCUCAGGCAGACGCUGAAGGAGCUGAGAGCUGGAAGCUGCCUGCAGACCCCACUUCCCACAGCUGGGCAGCCAGGCCUCCCCGGAAGGGAGGUCUGGGAAGCAUAUUCCCCAGUCGGCCACAACCCCAGAGGGUAUCCAAACGCCAUCACAUGCUAACCCUGACUGCUGGGAGGCUUUGUUCAAAGGAGGCGGUCCAUCAGGGGCUGUUUGAAACCAAGGUUGACUAUUUCUCCUAAUGCACUCUGGACCCAUUGGGACUCUGCGGUGACGUGGUUGAGGUGUAGAAACUUCUAGUCAUUUAGGGAUAUUGGAAAAGACACUUGGCCAGGAGGUCGCCUGAAUUCUAGCCCCACGUUAGAACCUUCUUUCUGAGUGUCACUUUCUCAGGCCCCUUCCCUGUGCUGGGCUUCAGACUCCACAUCUUACAAAAAGGGUAUGUUGCCUUAGAAGCGUGUUGCCCGACUUUCCCAGCCACUGGAAUGCCCUGUGGAACAUUUAUUUAAAUUCAGGUUCCAGACCCCUACCUGAAAUCUCCGGGGAAGCAGCCUAGGAGUCUGGCUUUUUCAUCAGAGCCACAGAUGAUCCUUAUGACCUGCUGAUUGUGAAAGUGGACUAGGAGCCCCUCAGCCAGACCAGCUGUGUCGGGUUCACCAGGAAAAGUUCGCAAGGUGGAGAUCCUCCAGCCCCGUGCCGGAAGAUUUUGAUUCAAAUUCUGCAUUUAAAUAUAAACAGCAAUGAUGAUAAUCAAUAGAACAGAUCAAUUGCAUUCCUGGCCCUAAUUCUUCCCUUGUAACCCCGCCCUUCUCACGUGACUUUGAUUUCCCAAAACUGUAGAGUAUAUUUCCCUCCCCGCAAUGUGACACGUUUGGCCGAUAGAAGAGGUGGGUAGGAGAGACUGUGCAUCAGUUCCAGUCCUUGGCCUCCAGAGGCCUGGCCUAUUUCUACCUACUCAUUUGUGCUCCUGUCAUCGCCACGAGAAGUUCAUGCCCGGCCUGGUCUGUUGGUCCCAGGAGAAGGACAAGAGAUACACGUGGAGCAGAGCUGCCCAGCUACCGUGUGCCGGCCGAGCCCAGCCUUGAGCUGACCCCCAGCCGACCUGCAGGUGCAUGAGUGCACCAGCCUGGAUCAGCCAACCUCCAGCUGCCCCCAAGACUAACGAGAUAUUCUAAGGCCGCUUGCUUUUCCUAAGAUGGCACCUGUGAUGGCUCCUCCAGACUAAUACAUAAUCUAACGGUCCUUUUAUAGUUGUGGUUUGUGGAAAACACUACUGCAGCCCCUGACUAGUCCUUCGAAACCUGUGAGCACGAGUUGUCUCAACUUCAGGCAUCUCAGUUUCCUUAUCUGGGAAACGAAGAUGAAGUUGGCUGUCCCAGAGCGGUGGUGAAAAUCAAACGUGGGGACGUGCGUGGGGCGUUGCAUGGCAGGAUUCCUUGGUGAUAUCUGGUGAAUAAUUACAACACAGAGCCAGUGAAGACCACGGCCUCGGGAAUCCGAUUUCCUGCACUUAAACCCUGUCUUCACCACCUGCGUGUCCCUGCGUAAGUGACUUACCCUAUCUCAGGCUUGGUUCCUCGUCCCUGCAAUGGGGGUGGUCCCAGCGUCCACCUCACACGACCGCCCUGGAGCUUAAAUGAGGUUGUGCCAGCAGAGCCUGGCCCAAGGCUGGCACAGGCCAUGACCUCAAUAACCAGGAGCUAUGACUCGGCUUGUUUAAACCUCAGCACCCACAGAGGCACUUCCAGAAACACCAGAGGAGGGCCAGCACGUGAUCUUGGACUUGUCUGGGAAGGAUAAUGUGCGUAUUGAGGACAAGCAGACUUUACUUGCAGACUCAAAUGGGACACCCUACUUGAGCUAGACUAGGGCGGGUUUAGGGAGACCCCCGAAAACAAGUCAUACCCACAUGGGUCACAUAGACUGCUCCCUCUCUCCUGGCCUGUGGUGUCGGCUGAGCCCAGUGAGUUAGAAAAGCAGAGAACAUCUAGUUCUAAGAAUCAGAAUACCUACGAAAAGAUCAGUCGAGCCGCAAAAUAUUAUCUUAAAAUUAAAAUAUAAGUCAGUGGGAAAUUAAUUUCACCAAAUGUUCCAGACCAUUUCGGAUGUCAAACAGGGGGCAUCCCGGGCACGUUCUAAAGCAGUGGUUUCCAAAGCAGGAUCCUUGAUCCUGCAGCAAAUUUGCAGGUCCCACCACAAUCCUACGGAAUCAGAAAUUCUGGGCAGGGCAUCAGCCUUCGUGUUUCAAUGAGCAGCGGGGCAUCUGGAUACAUGCUCCUUCGAGAAUCACAGCCCUUAUGGGAAGAAGUGGAUGCAGCUGACAGACAUGUCUGUCUGUGUCCUGGGAGCUCAGACCUCCCGCGUCAUACACACCCCCUGCUCUCCCUCCUCCCUUGUCACACUUACAAACUAUCUUCUCUUCUUCAAAACUGAUCACCAGCCAGUGGAAGGUGUCCGUUUCUACAUCCAGUCUCUAGGACAAAAGCAGAUUUGCCAGGAGUUG